UACGUAGGGGGCUAGCGUUGCCCGGAAUCAUUGGGCGCAAAGCGCGUGUAGGCGGUCCGGUAAGUCCGCUGUGAAAGUCGGGGGCUCAACCCUCGAAUGCCGGUGGAUACUGUCGGGCUAGAGUGCGGAAGAGGCGAGUGGAAUUCCUGGUGUAGCGGUGGAAUGCGCAGAUAUCAGGAGGAACACCAAUAGCGAAGGCAGCUCGCUGGGACGUUACUGACACUGAGGCGCGAAAGCGUGGGAGCGAACAGG
RNAcentral lists this ribosomal RNA (252 nucleotides) under uncultured bacterium. RNAcentral's name for it is "partial 16S ribosomal RNA". It matches the Rfam family "Bacterial small subunit ribosomal RNA", at positions 524 to 776 of the family's 1533-position model. The record is from RNAcentral.